CGCUGUCUCCCAGGACGGUCGCCUGACGCGGGAGGAGAUCGUGGCCAAGUACGACCUGUUCGUGGGCAGCCAGGCCACCGACUUCGGCGAGGCGCUGGUGCGGCACGACGAGUUCUAGCGGCGCCUCGGCCCCGAAGCGGAGGGGAAAGGGAGAGGAAAAACGAAAACAUCCACACACACACACAAAAAAAAAAACAAACCCGUAAUUUAUUUUUUAACCGUUUCUGGAGAAUCUGAAGGAGCGCCGUCGACGCCGACAUCGUGGGGGGGGCGGCGAUGCGGGAGGGGGGGGCUCCCUCUGCCCCCACCCCCACCCCAACCCAUCCCCCUCCAUCCCUGUCCCACCUAACCCUAACCCUAACCCUAACCCUAACCCUAACCCUAACCCUAACCCCAUCCCUGUCCCACCCUGAACCCGGAUCCGUUGUGGUCACAGGUGGAGAAUUUGGGGUGGAUUCUGCAGAAUUUGGGGUUGAAUCUGUGAUUUUGGGGUCCGUUUGUGAGAGUUUGGGUUCAGUUCCUGAGAAUUUGGGGUCAUUUCAUGAGAAUUUGGGUCUGGUUCUGCAGAAUUUGGGAUCAGUUCCUGAGAGUUUGGGGUCAAUUCCUGAGAUUUUAGGGCUGAUUUUGUGGAAUUUGGGGUCAGUUCUUGAGAUUUUGGGGCUGAUUCUGUGGAAUUUGGGGUCAGUUC
Molecule: long non-coding RNA, 688 nt
Filed under: Numida meleagris (helmeted guineafowl)
Lineage: Eukaryota; Metazoa; Chordata; Aves; Galliformes; Numididae
Description: lncRNA (ENSNMEG00000002050.1)
Source: RNAcentral